GACGAAGGAUGCAAGCGUUAUCCGGAUUCAUUGGGUUUAAAGGGAGCGUAGGCGGAUUGGUAAGUCAGUGGUGAAAUCUGUGGGCUUAACCCACAAACUGCCAUUGAUACUGCUGAUCUAGAGUACAGUUGCCGUUGGCGGAAUAUGACAUGUAGUGGUGAAAUACUUAGAUAUGUCAUAGAACACCGAUUGCGAAGGCAGCUAACGAAGCUGUAACUGGCGCUGAGGCUCGAAAGUGCGGGGAUCAAACAGG
RNAcentral lists this ribosomal RNA (253 nucleotides) under uncultured bacterium. RNAcentral describes it as "partial 16S ribosomal RNA". It matches the Rfam family "Bacterial small subunit ribosomal RNA", at positions 524 to 776 of the family's 1533-position model. The record is from RNAcentral.